GACGAACGCUGGCGGCGUGCUUAACACAUGCAAGUCGAACGGAAAGGCCCUGCUUUUGUGGGGUGCUCGAGUGGCGAACGGGUGAGUAACACGUGAGUAACCUGCCCUUGACUUUGGGAUAACUUCAGGAAACUGGGGCUAAUACCGGAUAGGAGCUCCUGCUGCGUGGUGGGGGUUGGAAAGUUUCGGCGGUUGGGGAUGGACUCGCGGCUUAUCAGCUUGUUGGUGGGGUAGUGGCUUACCAAGGCUUUGACGGGUAGCCGGCCUGAGAGGGUGACCGGCCACAUUGGGACUGAGAUACGGCCCAGACUCCUACGGGAGGCAGCAGUGGGGAAUAUUGCACAAUGGGCGGAAGCCUGAUGCAGCAACGCCGCGUGCGGGAUGACGGCCUUCGGGUUGUAAACCGCUUUCGCCUGUGACGAAGCGUGAGUGACGGUAAUGGGUAAAGAAGCACCGGCUAACUACGU
RNAcentral lists this ribosomal RNA (467 nucleotides) under uncultured bacterium. RNAcentral describes it as "partial 16S ribosomal RNA". It matches the Rfam family "Bacterial small subunit ribosomal RNA", at positions 28 to 506 of the family's 1533-position model. The record is from RNAcentral.